This 439-nucleotide ribosomal RNA is filed under the name uncultured bacterium. Its description in RNAcentral is "partial 16S ribosomal RNA". It matches the Rfam family "Bacterial small subunit ribosomal RNA", at positions 339 to 795 of the family's 1533-position model. The record is from RNAcentral.
CUACGGGUGGCAGCAGUGGGGAAUCUUGGACAAUGGGCGCAAGCCUGAUCCAGCCAUGCCGCGUGAGUGAUGAAGGCCUUAGGGUCGUAAAGCUCUUUCGCCAGGGAUGAUAAUGACAGUACCUGGUAAAGAAACCCCGGCUAACUCCGUGCCAGCAGCCGCGGUAAUAUGGAGGGGGUUAGCGUUGUUCGGAAUUACUGGGCGUAAAGCGCGCGUAGGCGGACCAGAAAGUUGGGGGUGAAAUCCCGGGGCUCAACCCCGGAACGGCCUCCAAAACUCCUGGUCUUGAGUUCGAGAGAGGUGAGUGGAAUUCCGAGUGUAGAGGUGAAAUUCGUAGAUAUUCGGAGGAACACCAGUGGCGAAGGCGACUCACUGGCUCGAUACUGACGCUGAGGUGCGAAAGUGUGGGGAGCAAACAGGAUUAGAUACCCUAGUAGUC